CUCUUUCUUAUUUCCAUACUGCCUUCCCUAGACCUGUCAUCCACAUGGGUAUCUUCAUGCACAGUAUCUUCUUAGAUGAACAUGAUGUUCCCAAAUUGUCCCACUUUCAUUUUUCUGUAUCAAUUCCCGAAGGUGAAGCUGACGUGGACGCUCCUUUUCGUUCAAUAUUCUGCGCCCCGGAGUUUGAAGCAACAGGCAAGGCAACUGAGAAAGCUGAUGUAUAUGCUUUUGGUCGGAUUCUUCUUGAACUUUUAACUGGAGAGGAUUCUCUUAAUAUAACCCGAUUUACAAUUGAUAAAGAUUCUACUUUAGUAGCAUACCUACAUAACCGUGCACAAGGUAGUUGCAUAAACGAGAUUAUGGACCCUGCAAUCUUGGCUGAAGAUGGGGAUGGAGGUGCUAGUUUACAGCAUCAAUUACAAGCUGUGGUGGACCUUGGCUUGACAUGUACAGAGGAAGAUCCACAAAGAAGGCCAACUAUGGUAGAUGUCACCAAACAACUCAGGCGGAUUGAGAGGUUCACACAAACGGGUGAAGAGCUUGGGGGAAAUUUGCAGAAUUUAAAGCUUCUUGAGAGUGUUGAAGAGCAUGCUUCUGCAUCAUUGAAAAGGAAUGCUUCUAGUGAUGAAAUCCAAGCAGUGAACAAAGCCUCUGAAAGGCCUCUUGAAGUUUGAUUGUGAUGCAACUGAAUGAUGACAGAGCUUGUAUGGCAGUUUUAACCUGUAAUUGGGAAGUUAUCAUUAUGGCAAACCCUUAAGACACUGAUGGAUUCGUGAUUCCAAGCCUGGAAAUAGGAGACUUAGAUCGGAGUAAAACUGAUGUUUCAGAAGUAGAAGCCUCAAAACCUCCUUGUCCAAAGCCAAAAAAGAAGAGAAUAUCUACCUAUGUCCACACGGAGCACCUCCUUCACAGUCAAAGCAGCAAGACCCAAAUUCUGCUGGUCGUAAGCAGCGGUUCAAGCAAAAAUUGAAGGAAGCAGAUGAGAGGACCAGUGGGACAGGUCGGGAGAAUAAGUUAGAGAGUCUCAGAGAACUUGUGGGUGGUGGCAAAGCCACCGGCAACAUGACAAAGGGCUCUACCAGGGAUUGGCUAGACCCACAUUGUCAUGAGUCUCAGUUUGAGAAGUGGAAUCCCCAGUGAGUGGAAUAUUUGAGAGCUUUUUAAACUUGGCACACUGGGUUAUCUUUGGAGACUGAAUUUAUAAAAGGUUAUGUAUUUUGCAAUAAAUUUUCAACCAGGCCUUUGAGAUUUGCUUUUGCUGCGAAAGAUUCUUUCAGUAGCAUUUCCGAUGUUUGGGUUGUAUUUGCUGCAGUUGGUGUUUGGCCCUUCUCUUAUUUUGUGCUCCUUCCACUUUGA
Quercus lobata is the source of this 1356-nucleotide RNA transcript. It is a transcript of the gene named probable serine/threonine-protein kinase PBL18, with no coding region annotated. The record is from RefSeq and is a predicted model, not a curated record. The transcript has 4 exons. Lineage: Eukaryota; Viridiplantae; Streptophyta; Magnoliopsida; Fagales; Fagaceae.